Long non-coding RNA from Prunus persica (peach), 1196 nucleotides. RefSeq lists it as uncharacterized. The record is from RefSeq and is a predicted model, not a curated record. NCBI's taxonomy places the organism in Eukaryota, Viridiplantae, Streptophyta, Magnoliopsida, Rosales, Rosaceae. The transcript is spliced from 2 exons.
GAGAGAGAGAGAGAGAGAGAGGUAUUCUUCUUUUCUUCUAUGCAUUUGCAGUUGGGUGUCGUUUCAGUUUUUAAAUGAGUUUCAAAUAGCUUUUGAAAUAUGCUUUUAUUUUAAAAAAUUUCUUCACAAAUUGAGAAUUUUUUAGAGUAAAAUUUUUACUAUGCAAUCUCUUUCAUUCUGAAAUUUUAAAAUUGAUUUUUAAAAUAUGAUGUUCUUUUAAAAUCUACAUCUGGGUACUAUUCAUUUUCUUAAGUCUAGAUCAGAUUCUUGGUUGAUUUUGUCAAGAGUAUGGUUUCUUGAAGGGACUGACCCUUUCAUCUCAAAAUAUAUAUUUCAUUAUGUAUGUUCGAUCUGGAGCUUAUCGUUGGUGCCCUAGAGUGAAUGAGCUGAUGGACUAGCUGCCAUUAAUAUAAAGGACUAGCUUCUAGCUCAACUAAGUUGGAGAUGAAAUUUGCACAUGGAGAUUCUUCUAAAGGCAGCAAAGAUAGUAGCUUGGCAAGCAAGCUAAGGGUUACCUCAAGAGAUUCCUCCUCUUUCAUCAUCAAUAUAAAAGGGAUGUGACGUGACAUGCUUGCUUUAUAUAUUCUCAUCAUGUUUUAAGAUAAAGCUAGAGGACAAGGCAAACUAUCAACCUCUGUACUUCAUUUUGAGCCUCCGAUUAACCUCCAAACUGAGAGCACAUAAUGACAACUUGUUUCUGCCUUCCCAAAACUAAUCCAGAAGAGACUUCCGUAACCAAAAGAAAUGAUCGAGAGCCUGCUUCUAACACUAAUUCUAAUAAUCCCAAAGGAAAAGGAUCCAAAGCUUUCAACUUUCGGGGGAACGAAAUCUGCGACAACAAAGGCGAAACCGUCGGAGUAUUUAACUUCGGCAACAAGAAGACCGCGGGCUCCACUGACAAGCAGGAUGGCGGCUCCAAUCUUGUUUUCACCUUUGAAGAUAUUAAAAUUCAGAGGAACCAGGCCAAGAAUACUGUCGGAUUUUGUGACUUCGGCAACGAGUAUUGAUCUUCAAUAUCCCUCGCUUGCAGGCCUCUUUUUCUUUUUUCUUUUUUUCUUUUUUUGAUUAUAGUACUAUUUUAUUUCUUAUGUGCGUGGUAGUUUAACAUAAAUUGUUCUUGUCAUGAGUAAAUGAAAAAAUUAAAAAUUAAAAAUCUUAAUUUUAUGUGGGGCGUGAAUAGUAACAGCAUUUACCUC